Molecule: RNA transcript, 3177 nt
Organism: Cebus imitator (Panamanian white-faced capuchin)
Lineage: Eukaryota; Metazoa; Chordata; Mammalia; Primates; Cebidae
Gene: MINAR1
Gene name: membrane integral NOTCH2 associated receptor 1
Exons: 4
Source: RefSeq, a predicted model, not a curated record
CGCCAUAGACCUGACCUGAAGUUUCAGUGUACUCAGCAAGCUUUUCAAGUUAGAAAUCAUGGAGACCAGUCAGGAAACUUCCCUCUUCUUGGCGAAGAUCUUGGAGGAACUGGACAGCAAGCAAAAUACCGUUUCUUAUCAGGACCUGUGCAAAUCUCUGUGUGCGCGGUUCGAUCUGUCGCAGCUUGCCAAACUGAGAAGUGUGCUCUUCUACACGGCCUGUCUCGAUCCCAAUUUUCCAGCCACGCUCUUCAAAGACAAGAUGAAAUGCACUGUGAAUAACCAGCAAUCAAAGAAAAUUAUGGUGGCAGCAGAUAUAGUGACAAUAUUCAACCUGAUCCAAAUGAAUGGCGGGGCCGCCAAGGAGAAGCUGCCCACGGGCCGCCAGAAGGUGCGCAAGAAGGAGGCAUCCUUUGACUCACGCAGGUCGGACACAGAGGUCUGCAAUGCAGCCGAGUGUGAGCCCCUGAACUGCGAGCUGAGUGAGAGGUCUUUCAGUCGGGGCCACCCCACCAGGCAGUCGUCCAAGGGCCGGAAGAUAGACUGCAAGGACUGCUUGCAGUUUGUCCCUGCCUCUGAGCCUAACUUCCUGUUGGGGGUUAGCAAAGAGGUGAAACACCGUGCUGCUUCCCUGGACAGGCUGCAGGCGCUGGCCCCUUACUCUGUGACCAGCCCUCAGCCCUGUGAGAUGCAGAGGACCUACUUCCCCAUGAACAUUGAAAACGAGUCCAUUUCAGACCAGGACUCCCUGCCCAUCAACCAGGGCAUCAAGGAGACCUUCAUUUCCAAUGAGGAGCCAUUUGUGGUCCAGUCCUGUGUCCAGAAAAGGAAUAUCUUUAAAGAGGAUUUUCACAAUUUGAUGGCAGUGUCCCCUAGUAUGGUUGGCCCCAUCAGCAAAGCAGAGAAUGAGCACAGGGAACCCCAGAGUCGAAAGGAACCCCACAAGCCACCCUUCUUUAACCACAGCUUUGAAAUGCCCUAUAACAGCCAGUACCUGAACCCGGUGUAUUCCCCUGUUCCUGACAAGAGGCGAGCAAAGCAUGAAAGCUUAGAUGACCUUCAAGCCUCUACGUACUUCGGGCCCACUCCCGUGAUGGGGACCCAGGAAACCAGGCGCUGUCCAGGGAGGCCCAGCAAGCAGGCUCCAUGGCCAGCCAAAAGCUGGAGCCUGAACACGGAGGAAGUUCCUGACUUUGAACGGUCCUUUUUCAAUAGAAAUCCCUCCGAGGAGAAGCUGCGCUAUCCAAAUGCCAGUAGCCAGACUCCCAAUUUCCCAGCCCCAGACAGGCACCCGACUUACCUCGUGCCAAAUGAUCAGCAGCCAAUUCUCCCCAUUGCUUAUGCAGCAAAACCAAACGGGCUCAAAUCUAAAGAGAUCUCCUCCCCUGUUGACCUGGAGAAGCAUGAACCAGUCAAAAAGUUUAAAGACAAGAGCAUUAACUGCACCAGUGGGCAGCUCAGCUCAGAUACCAGCAGCGUGGGCACCCAGACCGAGCAUGUGCUGGAGCCCAAGAAGUGCAAAGACCUAUGCACCUCCGGUCAGGCCAAGUACAGUGACAGGCACGCCAUGAAGCACUCAGAUGACGACUCGGAAGUUGUCAGUGACGACAUCAGUGACAUUUUCCGAUUUCUUGACGACAUGAGCAUCAGUGGCUCCACGGGAGUGAUACAGUCAUCCUGCUACAACAGCACAGGGUCUUUGUCUCAGCUCCAUAAGUCAGACUGCGACAGCUCCCCCGAGCACAACUUAACCAAAAUUGCCAGUGGGGUCCCCAACAGCAAGAGCGACAAGAGCAGCCGGCCUGAGAACACCCACCACUCGGAAGAAGAGCUGAAGACCAGUGUGUGCAAACUGGUGCUCAGGAUUGGUGAAAUCGAACGGAAGCUGGAAUCCCUGUCGGGCGUCCGUGAAGAGAUCUCCCAGGUCUUGGGCAAACUAAAUAAAUUAGACCAGAAAAUGCAGCAGCCUGAGAAGGUGAAUGUGCAGAUAGACCUGAACUCCUUGACGAGCGAGGCUCCGUCUGACGACAGUGCCUCUCCCAGAAUGUUCCGUGCACACAGUAGCUCCCACGGACCCAAACUGGAGACCAGCCCUGAUUGGUGCUGCUCCGAUGCCAGCGGGAGCAACAGCGAAAGCCUGCGGGUCAAGGCCUUAAAAAAAAGCCUCUUCACCAGGCCGUCCUCUAGGUCCCUAACGGAGGAGAACAGUGCCACGGAGUCCAAAAUUGCCAGCAUCUCCAACUCGCCCAGGGACUGGCGUACCAUCACUUACACCAACCGCAUGGGUCUCAAUGAGGAGGAGAUAAAAGACCCGGGCCCAGGAGAUAAUAAAGACUGGCAUCGGAAAUCUAAAGAGGCAGACAGGCAGUACGACAUUCCCCCACAGCACCGACUUCCCAAGCAGCCCAAAGACGGCUUCCUGGUGGAGCAGGUGUUCAGCCCUCACCCCUACCCUGCAUCCCUCAAAGCCCACAUGAAGAGCAACCCCCUGUACACUGACAUGCGGCUGACCGAGCUGGCCGAGGUGAAGCGAGGCCAACCUUCCUGGACCAUUGAGGAGUAUGCACGGAAUGUGGGCGACAAGGGCAAGCUGACAGCCCUGGACCUGCAGCACGUGGGAUAAACAUAUUUGUGGGAGCCCAGCUAUGGAUUAUGUUUCCAUACGGAGCCGCCCCAGACACAAGAAUCUUUAAACCCAAACAACUUAGAGUACUGGAUGGAAGACAUUUAUACUCCAGGCUACGAUUCAUUACUAAAACGUAAAGAAGCCGAAUUCAGACGAGCCAAGGUCUGCAAGAUAGCUGCUCUGAUCGCUGCGGCGGCAUGCACGGUCAUCCUCGUGAUUGUCGUGCCCAUCUGCACAAUGAAAUCAUGAGCUGAGAAUGCAACCUGCGUGCGGCGUACGACUACCAAUGUCUUGUCUGUGUUUUAGAAGCUCGCAGCAGUGAGGCAACAGUCUGUUGAGAUAGAGAUGAAAUCAUGGAAGCUUUUUUGCAAAUGUUGAAUGAAGGUGGUUUUUAGAAAAUACACAUUCUAGUGAGAAAUCUACGUACCUAUUAGCUUUGACUCAAUUACACUCGAUGCAUUUUUAGAAGUGCAAUAUCUUUUCCUACCAAAAGAAUGUAAUGGACUACCAGUAAAUACAAAUUGACUAUCCCAGGCCAAAAAAAAAAAAAA